This 253-nucleotide ribosomal RNA is filed under the name uncultured bacterium. RNAcentral describes it as "partial 16S ribosomal RNA". It matches the Rfam family "Bacterial small subunit ribosomal RNA", at positions 524 to 776 of the family's 1533-position model. The record is from RNAcentral.
UACGUAGGGACCAAGCGUUGUUCGGAUUUACUGGGCGUAAAGGGCGCGUCGGCGGCUUGACAAGUCACUUGUGAAAUCUCCGGGCUUAACUCGGAACGGCCAAGUGAAACUGUCAUGCUAGAGUGCAGAAGGGGCAAUCGGAAUUCUUGGUGUAGCGGUGAAAUGCGUAGAUAUCAAGAGGAACACCUGAGGUGAAGACGGGUUGCUGGGCUGACACUGACGCUGAGGCGCGAAAGCCAGGGGAGCAAACGGG